Molecule: long non-coding RNA, 2446 nt
Organism: Tachysurus fulvidraco (yellow catfish)
Lineage: Eukaryota; Metazoa; Chordata; Actinopteri; Siluriformes; Bagridae
Exons: 7
Source: RefSeq, a predicted model, not a curated record
CAUCUCGUUCCCUUCUCAGGGAACCGGGUUACAUACCUAACCUGGUGUAGUUCCCUUUCGAGGGAACUUGAUGCCGCGUCAGUGCUGACGCUAUGGGAACGCUGGAUGAGGCAAUACCCCUAGCGGAGUGAGCCCAAAUGCCAAGAAGCGAGGCAAGACCACACACCUCAUAGGCUUGAGCUAAUGGCCUCCACUACCCAGUGCACCAGGUGCUGCUGGGAAAUUGGAUUACCCUUAUUCCAGUCCUCAAGACAGACAAAAAGGCGUGGAGGAGUUACUCCAUGAGCUAAAGCGGUGGACAUAAGACCUCAAGGCCCUCAGUAGGCAAAGGAUAUGCAGCCUCUCCUGUUCCGCCGACUCAUGGGGUGCCGAGACAGUAGGCCCACAGUAUGACUGGACAGCCAGCCAUCCUGUGCACCUUCGAGACAUAUCCUGCCGCAGGGUGCAGAAUAUCCUUGGCCAUGCCAGAAGAAAAUUCUAGGCAGGUGGGGGCAAUCGACAAAGCCUGCAAAUCCCCCACUCUGGAGAGAGGCCAAGGCUAAGAGCACAGCCAAAUUCAUGGUCAGAAACUUCUCAGAGGCUGAACAGAGGUUUGGAGGUGAACAGAUCCACUUCCGCCCGGCCAUAAAUCUGCCAAAUUUGCUCCACCAUGUGGGGGUGGAGACGUCACUCCCCGGGCCUCAGCACCGGCCUCAACAGGAAGUCUGCCUCCUGAUCUACAUGCCCUGGAAUGAAAAUCGCUCUCAGCAAAAAGAACCUGGUCUCUGCCCAGAGCAGAAUCUGAGGUGCCAACCUGAAAUGGGGGCACAAACGCAGACCGCUCUGAUGAUUGACAUAGAGAGCCACCAAAGUGCUGUCUGUGUGUACUAAGACAUGGCAGCCCCUGAGGUGUGGAAGAAAGUGUUUCAAUGAUAGAAGCACAGCCCUCAUCUCCAGGCAGUUUAUGUGUCAUGAGAGAUAGGGGCCCUCCCAUCGACCCCAGGCAGGACGGCCAUCCUAGGCCACUCCCUAGCCUGAAAAUGAGGCGUCCCUCUGGAGAGUCCUACGACAGUGACACGCCCCAAGAGUGGGACCCAAGGCCAGGAGCCAGGGUCUUUCACACAUAAGAAGGGUACGAAGCCCACAGCACGUAACCCUGAGGGGGUGUCUGCAAGGAUGAAAGGCAUCGGCCUAGCCGAAUAGCUUUCACUGUUGACAAGUUGGAAGCCACCAGAUCGGGAGACAGAUGUGCCCGCAUCGUAGUGGAGUCCCAAACUAGCCCCAGACAAGUGGUUCUUAAAAAGAGAAAGCACACAAUUUUCUGGGUCCAACCUGAGGCCUAGAGACCUCAUAUGGGCAAGCAUAGCAUCUCGAGGACUGGCUGCCAUAGCCUUCGACUGGGCCAGAAUGAGCCAGUCGUCUAAGUAAUUCAGUACAUGGAUGCCCUGGAGACACAACAGUGCCCAGGCAGCGUCCAUGCACUUUUUAAACGUGCGUGGUGAAAGGGCUAUGUUAAAAAGAAGAACACUACUGGUACACUUCGCCCCAAAAGUGAACCUGAGGAACUUCCUGUGCUCUGGCAGAAUGUCUAUGUGAAAAUAAGCGUCCUCAAGGUCGAUCGUCACAAAGGUCUUUGGACCUGAUCUGAGACACGAUAACCUUGAGCGUGAGCAUCUUGAACCUGUAAGUCUUCAACCUGUGAAUCAGAAGUUCGGGUCAGAGGCGGUCUUACGCUAUACACCCAAGACCAACAUUUACUGUUCCAUUUACUGCUCAGAGUUAACACCAGUGUGCGAUACGAGUAUCGGGACUCAUGCCAUCUUGUGUUCACCGAGACGUGGUUACGAGAGGACGUGCCUGACUUUUCUCUGGUACGGGCGGAUAGGAACAACUCAGGCAAGACCAAGGGUGGAGGAAUGUGGCUGCAUCACUCUUGUCUUCACCUGCACCGACUGCAACACUUUCACCUUCGUUUGAUGCUCACACAGGGGCACGCGGCAACGAGAACAAUAAAGACUACGUCCACAUGAAUGUAGCUGCAACACGUUCACCUUCGUCUGACACUCGCACAAGGGCACGAAGCAACGUGACCGACAUUCAUCCUGUGAAUGUGGCUGCAACACGUUCACCUUCGUCUGACACUCGCACGAGGGCACGCAGCAAUGCAACUGGGAACAAAAAAGAGAAUGUGUCUGCAUCACCUUUACCUGCUACUCACACACGCCGUAGGUCUCUUUCAGUUCUCAAAGCAACUGAGACUAAUGUAUUUAACACUGACAGUGAUAAUGCACCUGUUGCAAAGAGACUUAAGAACAACAUCCAGGCAAGCAGCAGGCAGUCCUUUCUGUCAUGCAAAACAUGUAAUGUUCCCUUGUGUGUUCAGUUAAAUAGGAACUGUUUUGAACAAUGGCAUGACGACAUUUAACAAAUUUAUAUUUAUAUAAAUAUUUUAUUUAUAUGUGAAGUA